CGCGCUCCACGUCAGCGCGCCGGCGCAGGCGGCCAGAUGCGUCGCGAGGAUCGCCAUCACGGCGCGCGAGUUGGCCUGCAAGGCGGAGCCGCCGUUGAAUCCGAACCAGCCGACCCACAACAGGCCGGUGCCGAUCACCGCCAGCGAAAGAUCGUAGGGCGCAAGGUUCUCGGUGCCGUAGCCGCGGCGUCGUCCCAUCACGACGGCUGCGACCAGACCCGCGGUGCCGGCGCUGAGAUGAACCACAAGGCCGCCGGCGAAAUCGAGAACGCCGGCCUGCGCGAGAAAGCCGCCGCCCCACACCCAGUGCGCGAGCGGAAUGUA
Molecule: unclassified non-coding RNA, 324 nt
Filed under: Hevea brasiliensis (rubber tree)
Lineage: Eukaryota; Viridiplantae; Streptophyta; Magnoliopsida; Malpighiales; Euphorbiaceae
Source: RNAcentral